This 498-nucleotide ribosomal RNA is filed under the name uncultured bacterium. Its description in RNAcentral is "partial 16S ribosomal RNA". It matches the Rfam family "Bacterial small subunit ribosomal RNA", at positions 30 to 523 of the family's 1533-position model. The record is from RNAcentral.
AUUGAACGCUGGCGGCAUGCUUUACACAUGCAAGUCGAACGGUAACAGGCCGCAAGGUGCUGACGAGUGGCGAACGGGUGAGUAAUGCAUCGGAACGUGCCCAGUCGUGGGGGAUAACUAUCCGAAAGGAUAGCUAAUACCGCAUACGAUCUGCGGAUGAAAGCGGGGGACCUUCGGGCCUCGCGCGAUUGGAGCGGCCGAUGUCAGAUUAGGUAGUUGGUGGGGUAAAGGCUCACCAAGCCAACGAUCUGUAGCUGGUCUGAGAGGACGACCAGACACACUGGGGCUGGGACACGGCCCAGACCCCUACGGGAGGGAGCAGUGGGGAAUUUUGGACAAUGGGCGCAAGCCUGAUCCAGCAAUGCCGCGUGCAGGAAGAAGGCCUUCGGGUUGUAAACUGCUUUUGUACGGAACGAAACGGCUCUGGUUAAUACCUGGGGCUAAUGACGGUACCGUAAGAAUAAGCACCGGCUAACUACGUGCCAGCCGCCGCUGUAG